CCUACGGGAGGCUGCAGUGAGGAAUAUUGGUCAAUGGGCGCGAGCCUGAACCAGCCAAGUAGCGUGAAGGAUGACUGCCCUACGGGUUGUAAACUUCUUUUAUAAAGGAAUAAAGUGAGUCUCGUGUGCCUUUUUGUAUGUACUUUAUGUAUAAGGAUCGGCUAACUCCGUGCCAGCAGCCGCGGUAAUACGGAGGAUCCGAGCGUUAUCCGGAUUUAUUGGGUGUAAAGGGAGCGUAGAUGGGUUGUUAAGUCAGUUGUGAAAGGUUGCGGCUCAACCGUAAAAUUGCAAUUGAUACUGGCAGCCUGGAGUAUAGGUGAGGUAGGCGGAAUUCGUGGUGUAGCGGUGAAAUGCUUAGAUAUCACGAAGAACUCCGAUUGCGAAGGCAGCCUACUAAACUGCAACUGACAUUGAUGCGCGAAAGUGUGGGUAUCAAACAGGAUUAGAUACCCUAGUAGUC
Molecule: ribosomal RNA, 460 nt
Filed under: uncultured bacterium
Lineage: Bacteria
Description: partial 16S ribosomal RNA
Rfam family: Bacterial small subunit ribosomal RNA
Source: RNAcentral